AUUGAACGCUGGCGGCAGGCCUAACACAUGCAAGUCGAGCGGAUGAAGGGAGCUUGCUCCUGGAUUCAGCGGCGGACGGGUGAGUAAUGCCUAGGAAUCUGCCUGGUAGUGGGGGAUAACGUCCGGAAACGGGCGCUAAUACCGCAUACGUCCUGAGGGAGCAAGUGGGGGAUCUUCGGACCUCACGCUAUCAGAUGAGCCUAGGUCGGAUUAGCUAGUUGGUGGGGUAAAGGCCUACCAAGGCGACGAUCCGUAACUGGUCUGAGAGGAUGAUCAGUCACACUGAAACUGAGACACGGUCCAGACUCCUACGGGAGGCAGCAGUGGGGAAUAUUGGGCAAUGGGCGAAAGCCUGAUCCAGCCAUGCCGCGUGGGUGAAGAAGGUCUUCGGAUUGUAAAGCACUUAAGUUGGGAGGAAGGGCAGUAAGUUAAUACCUUGCUGUUUUGACGUUACCAACAGAAUAAGCACCGGCUAACUUCGUG
This 483-nucleotide ribosomal RNA is filed under the name uncultured bacterium. RNAcentral's name for it is "partial 16S ribosomal RNA". It matches the Rfam family "Bacterial small subunit ribosomal RNA", at positions 30 to 507 of the family's 1533-position model. The record is from RNAcentral.